AGAGUUUGAUCCUGGCUCAGGAUGAACGCUAGCUACAGGCUUAACACAUGCAAGUCGAGGGGAAACGACAUCGAAAGCUUGCUUUUGAUGGGCGUCGACCGGCGCACGGGUGAGUAACGCGUAUCCAACCUGCCCACCACUUGGGGAUAACCUUGCGAAAGUAAGACUAAUACCCAAUGACGUCUCUAGAAGACAUCUGAAAGAGAUUAAGAUUUAUCGGUGAUGGAUGGGGAUGCGUCUGAUUAGCUUGUUGGGCGGGGUAACGGCCACCAAGGCGACGAUCAGUAGGGGUUCUGAGAGGAAGGUCCCCCANAUUGGAACUGAGACACGGUCCAAACUCCUACGGGAGCCA
Molecule: ribosomal RNA, 352 nt
Filed under: uncultured bacterium
Lineage: Bacteria
Description: bacterial SSU rRNA
Rfam family: Bacterial small subunit ribosomal RNA
Source: RNAcentral